This 271-nucleotide ribosomal RNA is filed under the name uncultured archaeon. Its description in RNAcentral is "partial 16S ribosomal RNA". It matches the Rfam family "Archaeal small subunit ribosomal RNA", at positions 728 to 998 of the family's 1478-position model. The record is from RNAcentral.
AUUAGAUACCCCGGUAGUCCCAGCCGUAAACAAUGUGCGUUAGGUGUGUCGGUAACCACGCGUUACUGAUGCGCCGAAGAGAAAUCGUGAAACGCACCACCUGGGAAGUACGGUCGCAAGGCUGAAACUUAAAGGAAUUGGCGGGGGAGCACCACAACAGGUGGAGCCUGCGGUUUAAUUGGAUUCAACGCCGGACAUCUCACCGGAUAAGACAGCUGAAUGAUUGUCAAUCUGAAGGUUUUACAUGACUAGCUGAGAGGAGGUGCAUGGC